This 468-nucleotide ribosomal RNA is filed under the name uncultured bacterium. Its description in RNAcentral is "partial 16S ribosomal RNA". It matches the Rfam family "Bacterial small subunit ribosomal RNA", at positions 28 to 507 of the family's 1533-position model. The record is from RNAcentral.
GACGAACGCUGGCGGCGUGCUUAACACAUGCAAGUCGAACGGAAAGGCCCUGCUUUUGUGGGGUGCUCGAGUGGCGAACGGGUGAGUAACACGUGAGUAACCUGCCCUUGACUUUGGGAUAACUUCAGGAAACUGGGGCUAAUACCGGAUAGGAGCUCCUGCUGCAUGGUGGGGGUUGGAAAGUUUCGGCGGUUGGGGAUGGACUCGCGGCUUAUCAGCUUGUUGGUGGGGUAGUGGCUUACCAAGGCUUUGACGGGUAGCCGGCCUGAGAGGGUGACCGGCCACAUUGGGACUGAGAUACGGCCCAGACUCCUACGGGAGGCAGCAGUGGGGAAUAUUGCACAAUGGGCGGAAGCCUGGUGCAGCAACGCCGCGUGCGGGAUGACGGCCUUCGGGUUGUAAACCGCUUUCGCCUGUGACGAAGCGUGAGCGACGGUAAUGGGUAAAGAAGCACCGGCUAACUACGUG